This 463-nucleotide ribosomal RNA is filed under the name uncultured bacterium. RNAcentral's name for it is "partial 16S ribosomal RNA". It matches the Rfam family "Bacterial small subunit ribosomal RNA", at positions 28 to 507 of the family's 1533-position model. The record is from RNAcentral.
GAUGAGCGCUGACAGAAUGCUUAACACAUGCAAGUCUUUGGCGAAGCUGUGCUUGCACAGCCUAGCCAAGGCGGACGGGUGAGUAACGCGUAAGGAACUUGCCCUGCAGUCAGGGAUAACAGACGGAAACGACUGAUAAGACCUGGUAAAGUCAGGCGGACUCAUGUCCAGCCUGAUGAAAAGAGAUGCUGCAGGAGAGCCUUGCGUCCUAUUAGCUUGUUGGUGGGGUAACGGCCCACCAAGGGGAUGAUAGGUAGCCGGCCUGAGAGGGUGGACGGCCACAAGGGGACUGAGAUACGGCCCUUACUCCUACGGGAGGCAGCAGUGGGGAAUAUUGGACAAUGGGGGCAACCCUGAUCCAGCAAUUCUGUGUGCACGAUGAAGGUUUUCGGAUUGUAAAGUGCUUUCAGCAGGGAAGAAAAAAAUGACGGUACCUGCAGAAGAAGCGACGGCUAAAUACGUG